Molecule: ribosomal RNA, 474 nt
Filed under: uncultured bacterium
Lineage: Bacteria
Description: partial 16S ribosomal RNA
Rfam family: Bacterial small subunit ribosomal RNA
Source: RNAcentral
GACGAACGCUGGCGGCGUGCUUAACACAUGCAAGUCGAGCGGUAAGGCUCCUUCGGGAGUACACGAGCGGCGAACGGGUGAGUAACACGUGAGUAAUCUGCCCUUCACUUCGGGAUAACCACCGGAAACGGUGGCUAAUACCGAAUACGACCAGUCUUCGCAUGAGGUGCUGGUGGAAAGUCUUUUCGGUGAAGGAUGUGCUCGCGGCCUAUCAGCUUGUUGGUGGGGUAAUGGCCUACCAAGGCUUCGACGGGUAGCCGGCCUGAGAGGGUGACCGGCCACACUGGGACUGAGACACGGCCCAGACUCCUACGGGAGGCAGCAGUGGGGAGUAUUGGACAAUGGGCGAAAGCCUGAUCCAGCAACGCCGCGUGAGGGAUGACGGCCUUCGGGUUGUAAACCUCUUUCAGUACCGACGAAGCGCCCUGUCGGGUGGUGACGGUAGGUACAGAAGAAGGACCGGCCAACUACGUG